RNAcentral lists this long non-coding RNA (2094 nucleotides) under Olea europaea subsp. europaea. Lineage: Eukaryota; Viridiplantae; Streptophyta; Magnoliopsida; Lamiales; Oleaceae. The record is from RNAcentral.
CUGUGCAGGUGUCGUGCAGUUUAUAACUCUAAUACUCCUCCUCAAGAUAUAGUGUAAAUGUUCUUCACAGACAUCUUGGACAACAAAGGAAAAAGUGUUGAAGCUGGAAGGGGUUUAGUGAAAACAUCAGCAAGCUGAUGCUGUGACCGAACAUGGAGGAGUUUAACCAUUCCAGCUGCAAGUUUGUCUAGUAUGAAGUGGCAGUCAGUCUCGAUAUGUUUUGUCCGUUCAUGAAAAAUGGGAUUUGUAGCAAUAUUGAUGGCAGCAUGAUUAUCACAGAAAAGGACUAUAGGAGAAGCUGUCACCGUGCCAAAAUCCCUGAAUAGCUGGUUAAUCCAAAUGAGUUCAUUAAUGGUGGCAGCUAGAGCUCUGUAUUCUACUUCAGCUGAAGAACGAGACACGGUAGAUUGGCGUUUGGCUUUCCAAGAUAUUAAGGAGUCACCAAGAAUUAUACAAAAUCCGGUGGUGGACUUCCUUGUGUCAAGACGAGCCCCAGUCUGCAUCUGAAAAGGCUCUAAGUUUGAUGGCUAGCCUAGAAUAAGAUUUUGCAGACAAGAAUAUGCCUUGACUAGGACAUCCUUUCAAGUACCGAAGGAGAUGAUGCACAGCUUUGAGAUGUGGCAUUCUAGGUUCAGAUAAAAAUUGGCUUAGUUUGUGGACUGCAAAUGUAAUGUCCGGACGUAAGGUAGUCAAAUAUAUCAGCUUUCCAAUUAAACGCCUGUAGUGAGAAGCAUCCAGUAGUAAGUCUCCAUCAUGAUUGCUCAAAGGGAUCUUGGGAUCCAUGGGUGUGUUUGUAGGCCUGCAGUCAAGAUAGCCAGAAUCUUCAAGUAGUUAUAGAGUAUAGUGCCGUUGUGAAAUGACAAUUCCUGAGUUUGAAUGAGCAACUUCAAUGCCUAAAAAGUAUUUCAAAUAACCCAAAUCUUUCAGUUUGAACUGGGAAUGGAGAAACUCCUUCAAUGAGUUAAUGACUUGAAUGUUUGGUCCAGUGAUGACAUUGUCAUCAACAUACACAAGUAAAGCCACAUAAUCAUUUCCAGAUCCUUGAGUGAACAAAGAAUAAUCGGCCUUUGACUGAGUGAAACCAUAUCGAAUUAGUGCUUGUGUGAAUUUUGAAUUCCAUUGCCUGGAGGCCUGCUUUAGGCCAUAAAUGGAUUUACGCAGCCUGCAAACCAGCCUCUCCCCCUGUUUAGCAGUUUUGGGAACCUCAUAUCCAGGUGGAAUGUCCAUAUAAACUUCCUCAAACAAGUCUCUAUUUAAGAAGACAUUGUUAACAUCAAGUUGAACCAAAUGCCAAUAAUAGUAAGCUGCAAGUGCCAACAAUACUUUGACAUUGUCAGAUUUAAAGGCAAAUGCAGCCUCUAUUCUGAUCAAUGUUCAUUUGUGUGCUUAUCCUUCUUUGAUUUUCCUCCUGAGAAAUCAAAGCAAAUGCCUUAUUAAUUGGGGGCACUGGAUCCAUGAGUAGCAAUUGGCCUUUGAUUUGGGAGAAUGAGUCAUGUAGUCCCAUGAGGAAUGCCAUUAUGUAUUCCAUCUGGUAGUAAUUGUUCAAUUCCUUCACUCCACCACAAGUACACUUACCGCAACUGUAUGUUGGGCGAUAAUUGCUCAAUUCCUCCCAUAUGGUUUUAAGCUUCGUGAAGUAUAUGCUAACACUACUUUGAUCUUGAGUUAAAUUCAUCAAGUCUCUUCUCAAUUGAAAUAUGCGUGGACCGUUCUUUUGUUGAAACCUAUCUUUGAGGUCAUUCCAAAUUUCAUGUGAUGUGCAUGCAUAAAUCACACUAGCAGAAAUUUCCUUAGAGAUGGAGUUAAGAAUCCACGAAAUUACCAUAUUAUUAUUCCUGAUCCAUGCAUUGAUCAACUCAGCUUUCAAAUCGUCUAGCUUUGUUAUAGUUCCAUCAAUGAAUCCAAGCUUGCUUUUUACGGAUAAUACAAUUAUCAUUGCUCGGCUCCAGGAGGUAUAGUUUUCUUCUGUGAGCAGUUGUGAUACCAACACCAAUCCUGGAUUAUCAGAGUGAUGAAGGAAAUAAGGGCUUGAAGAUUCAUCAAUGGCAGACACGCUGGUGGACGAUCUAAAAUCAAAUCUAUCUUCAAGUUUUG